UACAUAUUUCUGAAGAGCUGCUUGAGAGGCACAGAAGUUAGAAAGAUGCAAGUUCUUGAAGACAGAAUAAUCCCACUACGCAGAAAACAGGAAAGAGAAUGAUGAAGAUUAUCACCACUGAAAUAGUUGUGGAGUUACUGCAUUCCUCUGCCUGUGGCAUGAUGGGCUCAGCAGCAGUAAGUUCAGCACAUACAACUCUUAGAGACAGAGCUUGACUUGAACAGCACAAAAUAUCCCACACUGGAAGAGCUAUCAUAGUCAAUGCAACAACAACAUUUUCUAGUGUGCUACUUGCUCCCAUUUAACAGACUUCAUUGCUUUCACAGUGCGGCUUCUAUAAUCAGCUGUGUCAAUGGAAGUGUAGCAGCAGAGAAACAGAAAUGAAGGUUGAGGCGAUCUUCAGUCACCCAUGUGUAUUGAGAAGAGGACACUUGCUUGUGGUUUGUGUAUUGUUGCUCUUUGUCUGGUAGCCACAUACCUGUGGUCUCUAAGAGUUUGCUCAAUGGAUCUCCAAGGAAAGAGGUCUUUUUGAAAUGGCUAGAGGUGUGGGCUUCAGAGAUGGUUAUCUCAAAGUCCUAACAAAAUAACUGCUGCACAGGCUUUCUGCCAAAAUGACUUCUCUGUGUGUGAAUGAAAGUUGGGCUGGGCAUGGGUUCUCAUCUCAGCAAUACUUGUUCAGCACACAUUAACAUUUGUAAAAGAGGAAACACAUACCUUACGGUACAUGGUUUUGCCACAGACAAUUUUUUGUAACCUUAGAAAGAUAUUUAAGCUCUCAGGCUCUAGUUCUUUAUCUGCCCAGUAGGAACAGAGGCUCUUCUUUUACCAAUAUUAAGUCAAUUCUGCACAGCAAGGGCUGACUCUUGCUUCAUGCAUGUGUGCAGAGUGCAUAAGACAUUGAGGUUAAAGUCUGAGACUUAUAUCUGCUACCCUUAAAAUAAAAAAUCUCCAUAUUUGAAGUGUUGACAUCAAUGGGAGCUGAUGUAGCUCAGCAGGAGUUCCAAUGGGAGCUCAAACUGUUAAAAUUUGACUCAACAGCUCAGAGCCCUCAGUAUCCUAUUUGGUAAGUGUGGUGUUGGUGGGAAUAAACAUACCCAAUUACUACAGCACAUGGCCUAUAUAUUUUGUCCAUCAUACUCCUCACAGGCUGUCUUUGGUGCUGGUUUCAAAUGGUUCCCAUGUUGGGGAUUUCACACUACUGAUGCUCAGCUAUAAUUACUCCAGGAUUUCCAAAAACUAACCACGGGACUUUCUCAUACACAACCAUACUCUCAGGCUUCUACCUGCCCUUCGCCUCCAAUGACAGGAUAGUGCUGUUUUCUUCCAUCAGGUUAUCUCACCUGCCUGAUAACAAGGAAAAUUAUCUCAGCUUGUCUCAGAGCCAACCUUCCUGCUCUCUUUGUGGUAACAGUCUAAAUUAUAGCUAAUAUUUAACAACUAACGGCUUCCCAAAAAUGAAAGUGAAAGACUGGCUACUUGGAGCAAAGACAUCCAAGAAGGAACAUAUUUUAAGAAAUAAUAACCAGUAAUAAAGACAGUGCACAUGUUUACUUACCAGUCACGUAAUGAUCACCUAUGCUGACAUGUCAGAAAUUCUUUGUCAUUGACAUUCCUGUAACUGCCCAAAAAGGGAUUUAAGCCCCUCUUUGUCUGACAACACCCCACUCUGACAAAGCAUAAAAAAGGGACACACUGGUGAGAACUAAUGGCUUUCCAUCUUUCAAGUGUGUACCUAGAUCUUCUUAUCUGGGAAGUCAUUGUAUUGCUUCCCUGUUUGUUCUUCCCAGAGCCUUACUGCAUCAAGUUAUUCAUGCAGGUAAGGUUUAUGACCUCAAUAAACAGUCUUCCCUCACUUCCCAGAACACAAAAUAACUGUUCCUAAACUUUACCAAGUAAUGGUGACACAGCAGUUAACAUCAUGUUGUGUCCACCAUUCCCACCAACAGCCUGCUCCAACAUUGAAAGGUUAACACCAACAAUUUGGUUUUCAUAAUUUCCCUGUCUGCAUAUCAACCCCUUGCUCCAUGCUAAAUAAGUGAUUUCUCUGCUUUCUGAUAACUUCCCUGCAACUAUUCAUAGACUGUUACUAGGUUGCCCAUGUUGUGGUUUCAGAGCCAAGCCAUUCAUCUUUACUCAUGACUCAUCAACUGUUUCCUUCAGCCAAUUAAUCAUGAAGCUGGGUUUUCCCCAGCAUACCUUCCCUGGCUCAUCUGUAUCUUUUGGGUAAUGAGGUACCCUGAAGUGAGUGCAGCAUCCCAGGUGUGGUCUCCCCAGGCCCAUCAAGUGAAUGAGUCUCACCUUUCUGCUCCCUGACAUCACUCCUCUGGGUCUCCAGCCCAACCUCACGAUCAUGGUUCAGCUUCUGCAGCACCCUGCAAUUUCACGGCUCUGCUUGAUGUCCAUGCUCACCACGAUAUCUUCAUCAGCCUGAGAGAGCCACGGCCAGGAAACCAGUGGAGAAAUCAUCUCACGCAGGCUUUCUUUGUGGUGUGACAUGCAGGGCAACAGCCAAGGGAGCAGAGACAAGAGUGAGGACAGCCAGAGGCCUGGGAAAGGUGACAGAACAAAACCAGGAAAAGGACAUGCCCUCACCAGGUGACACUGGUUAGUUGUUUAUCAAUAAGAUCAAAAUAAAUGGGAAAUCAAACUCAGUGGUAUUUUCAGCUUCCACCCAACCACACGGAACCAGAUGUAAACACCGUCCCAAAUCCCCAUCACAUCCGAGUACACUUCGUCCCUUCACAGCCAAGGGGAACAGAAGAGCCUCAAAGUAAAAGCAAACUUUUUCUUGGCAUUAUGCUUUGCAAUAACAUUGUCAUUCUGAUAGAAAAUAAAAUAAAACAAAACAAUUCCAAGCAUUUGAAAAAACAAUAUCCUACAGUUAACAAACUCCAUAAGAUAAUUAGUACUGUAGCAAGAAAAGACAGAAUUUUAAUUUUUCAACUCAUUUUGUAGCACCUGUGUAUUUUCUCCUCUUUCACCUAUGAAUACUCUUAAUUUGCAGCUGAUUUAGUUUAGUUGAUUGAUGAUAAGGAACUGUUUAGGAGAUUUGCAUUAAUUUUUCCUUCUAUUUUUUUAAUUUCUGCUCCUUUUGCAUCUCUUUUUCCCUCUAAGCUUUGCAACAUUUCUCCAUUAUUACAACUAUGUAAAGGACAUGUGGAGAUACUUCAGUCAAUAUAUUAAAAAAAAAAACUCCAAACCCUGAGAAUAAGGAGAAGAUUUCAUUCUUUCCUUUCUUGUUUUUCAUCAUUUAUUCAUUUUUUUUUCCCUAAAAAAAAUUGUUUGGAAAUUUAAAAAUCCUUUUGUUAACACUUUUUUUUUGGCCUGGAUGUUCAACCAAAUACCUUUCAGAAGGGAGGUGCAUUAGAAAUAAGAUCAUUAUUAGAAAAUACAUCUGAUUCAAUACAGUUCACUCUCCUGUGAGCAGAGACCCUUACUAGUUCAAAUGAGGAUUUGAGAUGAGUUCUGCUGCAUUGACACAAUCCUUUAUGCUAUAGGUGAGCGCGAUAACCUUAAGUAACUGAAAAUACAAUCACUUAGGUCAGUGAAAAGAAGCUGUUUGCUAAACACAAACACACCCUUUUCAUUUUCUUCUGGAAAUCUGGGCAUGUUUAAUAAGAAUUUACAUGAAUUUGAAAUUGUCUAUCUUGGGCACCUUGGGCACUGCUGAACAAUCAAGCAUCCCCAGAACUGAAAACUCAGAGGUUGCUGGAAAUGAAAGAACUGACAUACAAAUCAAGAUGUUAUUUUUAGAAAUAAUAAAAAUGAGAUAGUUUUUAUCUCUUCUCUGUUGUGCAACUUGACCUCUUUGUCCAUAACUGCAAAAAAAUGCAAACACGUUUUGAUUUAGUUUAGUUCAUAAUCUAAAAUUUAGAAGCUCACACAAUUCCAGCAGCUGGAACUCAGAAAAAUAUUGCAAAACCCAUGAUACAGUCACUACAGGUGGCAUCUCUGAAGAAUUAAAUUGUUCCAUUCAGCAUAAUCUUUUAGUACACAGAAUUUAAAUGCAUGAAGACCUGAAUACAUCUUCAAAUACCCACGGAAAAAUCUCUGAUGGAAAAACUGUCCUCUUACAGUCACCGACUUGUCCCAUAAGGGCUCUGGGGAAUUCUUGUUUUGGAGGAGACAAGACUAGAAUGAAGGUGAGCAUAGGGGAAACAAAAAGAAUGUAAAGUCCAGGACUUUGCUCUUUACAAUGAAGAUUUCAAUACACCCCUUCCUCACCAUUUCCUCUAUGAUAACAUCAUCCUGCUUACCUGGAGGGCUUUGGUUUUCGGUGUGAGGGGGUUUAUUGUUGAUGUUGUGUUUUGGUUUGGUUUGGGUUUUGGUGGCUUUUUUUAGUUUUUGUGGGCUUUUGUUUGUUUGUUUAUUUUUUUUUUCUUUUUUAACUCACUCUUAUCUUGUGUGAACACAGGGAGGGAAUAAUAACUUCUCAUCACAAUGUAUUUUUGCAAUGGCUGGAGCCCAGCCUCAGUGCUGUGUGUUAUCACCCUCUCCUCCUCUCUUUGAGUCCAGGAGCCUUUUGAUCUCUGUAGUAGCAAUUGUCACAGACUGCAGGGAAGUAUUUUGUGGCUUUUGAUAUGUACUGGAUGUAGUAUGGAUUUUCUACUGAUCCAUUUGGAAGUUUGAGGUAUCAGGAGACUAGACUUAGAGGACCUGAAGGAGUCCUGCUUGUCUUAUGCUCCAAAUUUGAUUUCUGUCCAGAACAUGAAAAAGAGAGAAUCUGCUCAUUCUCUAUUUUUGGGAUUAAGGACUAUUUACAGUUGCUCUGGAGUCUAGAGUCUGUCCAAAGUAUUUUAGCAGAUGCUUUGUGUGGUCUUUGAACUCUUGCAAGCCACAAGGGAAGGAAAAAAGAAGAGGAUUUCUGCAUUUUAAGGCCAAGGGCUUUUUGGAUUAUGUAGAAUCAUCUCCAAUGUAAACCAAUUGCAAGGUUUCCAUUCAGUUCCUUCUGUCCUAGGCUCAGCUGCUUGUGUCAAAGAUGCCAAGCACUUGGAGAUGAUGACAGGUAAGGGAAAGAGAUGCAUAUGGUUAAAACAUAGCGAGUAGCAUCCGGAUGCUGCAUAUGAAAUAGGACGUGUGAUGUUGUAAUGGAAGAGUGGCAUCUGUUCCCUGGCUGCAGAGCGUUGGUGGUCCUUACAGCUGUUCCCUGGAAGACUUGUCUGGCAUUCGCAGUCUCAGACUUGAUAACAUGAGUCCCUGGUGGCCUUGGAGAAACAUAGAAGGAUUUCAGAUUUCUGUUGGCCACAGAAGAUUGGGAGUCACGGACUUUGUCCAAGCAGAGUCGCAUUCCCCAGGGGCCACUGAUGACAGCACAGCUAAAGUGGAACUUCAUCUUUUCCAACCUGCCUGUGGUCUACCACACAAUUUGUUUGUUAUGCUGAGCCUGAUAAAGCUUACCACUCAGAUCCAGCAGCAGCUGUCCCUUGAGGUACAAAUUAGGCUACUCACUUGGGCAACAGACUGCAGGGGACACCAAGUGAGACGUGACCCCACUGCUUAUGUCUGCUGUGAAACAGCAGCCAGGCUGGGCUGAAGACUGGCCAUACUUGAAGCACAUCCCUUCAUCUCUUAAGCAACAGCACAGGCAGUAACUCUGGAUCUCAAAGGCCUUUCUCACAGUUGGAUUCGAUGAUCUUAAAGGUCUUUUCCAACCCAGAUGAUUCUAUGAUUACCUUUCCCUUCCCUAAGCAGGUUAACCUGGAGCUGACCCUUCAUUCUUUACCCUGUUUUCCACUGCCCAGCUGAGACAAGUGACCGGUUAUAAGUAAACUCCUCCUUUGCUCCUGUCCAGUGAAAAGCCCAGUGAGCUUCAAACUCCACCUGGAAAAGGUAUUUUCCAAGGGCAAUCCCUGGUUCAGCCUACAUAUGCUCACUUCUUUUUGGCAAGCCAAGUGCCCUGCAGCGUAUCUGCUGAACGGACUCAGCUGGGACACCACAGAGUCUCAGACGACCUCCCAGGGCCUGGACAAGACUGGUCAAUAAUGGUGUUAUUAGUUAAACUUCAGGGACAUCCAAUGGGUGUUGGUGACUCAUCUCAGCCGUCUGAAAGUGACCCAGUCACACUUGGAUCCCCACAUUCUCAAUGGAGAGAAAUAAAUUUCUCAGGCACAGGCUGUCUGACCUAUUCUAUCAUGUAUUUUAGGAAGAGAUGGUGAUCUCCACUGAGUGGGUUCACUGUACCUCCACUGAUUAUGAAAGGAGAAGCCAACUCUGAAAAAGAUUCUACAGUAUCUAAAGUUACAUGAGAGGAACCCCAGCCCUGGUCUUCAUCUGGAGACUAUCAAGUAGUGCAUGACCGAAGACUUCCUUAUUAGCAUGAGUUCAGUUGCUCCUCUGCUACUGGUAGGUAUUUAAAUAUGGCUACUCAGCAAAGUAGGAACCAUUUGAUGAAUGAAGCUUUGCAGCAAUAGCUCCAGUGGUCCAUCUUCACAAAUUUAAGUAGAGCUGUUGAAAGGUGAGAAAGUACUUGUGCUGUAAACAUGGGAACAUACUACUAAAUGACAUGCCCACCCACUUCUUGGUCUCUUUCCACUGCCAAAGCAGUAAAAAGGGACCUUAGUGUAAGUGUGAAUCCAGCUCUUGGAAUGUUUUUCCAUUUCCUUGUAUUUACGUUAAUGAACACUG
This is a long non-coding RNA of Columba livia (rock pigeon), 6624 nucleotides long. RefSeq lists it as uncharacterized. The record is from RefSeq and is a predicted model, not a curated record. The transcript has 3 exons. Lineage: Eukaryota; Metazoa; Chordata; Aves; Columbiformes; Columbidae.